RNAcentral lists this ribosomal RNA (437 nucleotides) under Acanthamoeba genotype T4. RNAcentral describes it as "SSU rRNA". It matches the Rfam family "Eukaryotic small subunit ribosomal RNA", at positions 750 to 1085 of the family's 1831-position model. The record is from RNAcentral. Lineage: Eukaryota; Discosea; Longamoebia; Acanthamoebidae.
CGUUACCGUGAAAAAAUUAGAGUGUUCAAAGCAGGCAGAUCCAAUUUUCUGCCACCGAAUACAUUAGCAUGGGAUAAUGGAAUAGGACCCUGUCCUCCUAUUUUCAGUUGGUUUUGGCAGCGCGAGGACUAGGGUAAUGAUUAAUAGGGAUAGUUGGGGGCAUUAAUAUUUAAUUGUCAGAGGUGAAAUUCUUGGAUUUAUGAAAGAUUAACUUCUGCGAAAGCAUCUGCCAAGGAUGUUUUCAUUAAUCAAGAACGAAAGUUAGGGGAUCGAAGACGAUCAGAUACCGUCGUAGUCUUAACCAUAAACGAUGCCGACCAGCGAUUAGGAGACGUUGAAUACAAAACACCACCAUCGGUGCGGUCGUCCUUGGCGUCGGUUUCGGCCGGCGCGAGGGCGGCUUAGCCCGGUGGCACCGGUGAAUGACUCCCCUAGAG